AUCGUCGGGAUCGGGAUAAAUGAUAAAUUUGAAUGAUCCAGAGAAGAUUAGCAUGAUCAUUGGUCAAGAAUAGCAUGCACAAAUGGACAAUUAGUCCAAAUUAUU
Molecule: small nuclear RNA, 105 nt
Organism: Nicotiana attenuata
Lineage: Eukaryota; Viridiplantae; Streptophyta; Magnoliopsida; Solanales; Solanaceae
Source: Rfam